Molecule: unclassified non-coding RNA, 406 nt
Filed under: Hevea brasiliensis (rubber tree)
Lineage: Eukaryota; Viridiplantae; Streptophyta; Magnoliopsida; Malpighiales; Euphorbiaceae
Source: RNAcentral
AUGACGAAGAUGAAGAACCUUACAUGGAUGACGAGUUCGAUUUUCUGUCUUGGUUCAAGGAAACUGUGCAGCAUGGCGAUUUCGUCGUCUUGAAGAUGGACGCAGGGAAGGAAGAACUGAAGUUUCUAUCAGAUUUGUUCGAAAGUGGGGUUAUUUGUUGGGUGGAUGAGGUGUUCCUCAGCUGCAGAGAUGGGGUUGACGAAGAAGAUGGUGAGCUGAAGAAAAGAGACUGUAUGGAUCUAUACAAGGAUCUGAGAAACAGUGGUGUUUAUGUGCAUCAAUGGUUUCUGGAUUCUGCUCCUUCCUCCAUGAAAAUAUGAAGUUGUUUAGUUUGGUUCAUGGUUGGUGAGUAAGAAUAUUGCAGAGUUGCUUGUGGUUGAGCGCUCAAUUAGACUUAUAAUAAACG